AUGGAGAAUUACCCCAUUCUCUUUGGGACGCAGCCCUCAUCUUCCACCUCCAAUUCAUACCACUUCGUGGCAGGAGCGAGCAGCCAUGACCAUCUCCAUCACCAUGGUCAAGCAGCUGGCAAUAACUCCAGCGGGGGCGGCGGCUUGAACCAAGGCCUCUUCCCGGGGGCCAAGCAGGAGGAGCCCUCCAACUCAAAGGAUGGUGGUGGUGAUGAUGGUGCGGGAAGUAGUUCACAGGGCGUCGGCGAGGCGGACGUCGUCGUCGGGAGGAAGAAAGGCGAGAAAAGGGAGCGGCGGCCUCGGUUCGCGUUCCAGACGCGCAGCCAGGUCGACAUCCUCGACGACGGCUACCGGUGGAGGAAGUACGGGCAGAAGGCCGUCAAGAACAACAACUUCCCCAGGAGCUACUACCGGUGCACGCACCAAGGAUGCAACGUGAAGAAGCAGGUGCAGCGGCUAUCGCGGGACGAAGGUGUGGUGGUAACGACAUACGAGGGCACCCACACGCACCCAAUUGAGAAGUCUAAUGACAACUUUGAGCACAUACUCACCCAGAUGCAGGUCUACUCAGGCAUCAACAACGUCUCCCAAACCUUUGGCAACCAACACAUGUUUCAAUGA
RNAcentral lists this ribosomal RNA (621 nucleotides) under Triticum aestivum (bread wheat). Its description in RNAcentral is "partial small subunit ribosomal RNA". The record is from RNAcentral. Lineage: Eukaryota; Viridiplantae; Streptophyta; Magnoliopsida; Poales; Poaceae.